Molecule: small nuclear RNA, 107 nt
Filed under: Cricetulus griseus (Chinese hamster)
Lineage: Eukaryota; Metazoa; Chordata; Mammalia; Rodentia; Cricetidae
Source: RNAcentral
AAAAAUGUGGAACACUUCACGAAUUUGCAUGUUAUCCUUGCACAGGGCCCAUGCUAAUCUUCUUUGUAUCCUUCCAAUUUUAAUAUAUGUGCUGCCGAAGCAAGCAC